GAAAAGAAACCAACAGGGAUUGCCUCAGUAACGGCGAGUGAAGCGGCAACAGCUCAAAUUUGAAAUCUGGCUCCUUUGGAGUCCGAGUUGUAAUUUGUAGAGGGUGCUUUGGCGUUGGUUGUGGUCUAAGUUCCUUGGAACAGGACGUCACAGAGGGUGAGAAUCCCGUACGUGGCCGCCAGCCUCCGCCGUGUAAAGCCCCUUCGAUGAGUCGAGUUGUUUGGGAAUGCAGCUCUAAAUGGGAGGUAAAUUUCUUCUAAAGCUAAAUAUUUGCCAGAGACCGAUAGCGCACAAGUAGAGUGAUCGAAAGAUGAAAAGCACUUUGGAAAGAGAGUCAAAAAGCACGUGAAAUUGUUGAAAGGGAAGCGCUUGCAGCUAGACGUGCCUUGGGUUGAUCAGCCGGACUUUUGCCCGGUGCACUCUUCCUUUGGCAGGCCAGCAUCAGUUUGGGCGGCUGGAUAAAGGUCUGUUAAACGUGACUUCCUUCGGGGAGAGCUUAUAGGGUAGACGACAUGCAGCCAGCCUGAACUGAGGUCCGCGCAUCUGCUAGGAUGCUGGCAUAAUAGCUGUAAGCGGCCCGUCUUGAAACACGGACCAAGGAGUCUAACAUCUAUGCGAGUGUUUGGGUGUCAAGCCCGAGCGCGUAAUGAAAGUAAACGUAGGUGGGAACCUUUUAGGUGCACCAUCGACCGAUCUUGAUGUCUUCGGAUGGAUUUGAGUAAGAGCAUAGCUGUUGGGACCCGAAAGAUGGUGAACUAUGCCUGAAUAGGGUGAAGCCAGAGGAAACUCUGGUGGAGGCUCGCAGCGGUUCUGACGUGCAAAUCGAUCGUCAAAUUUGGGCAUAGGGGCGAAAGACUAAU
This 860-nucleotide ribosomal RNA is filed under the name Lophiostoma caulium. Its description in RNAcentral is "eukaryotic LSU rRNA". It matches the Rfam family "Eukaryotic large subunit ribosomal RNA", at positions 56 to 935 of the family's 3401-position model. Lineage: Eukaryota; Fungi; Ascomycota; Dothideomycetes; Pleosporales; Lophiostomataceae. The record is from RNAcentral.